UCCGCAGUAGUUUAGUGGUAGAGCUAUCGGAUGUUAACCGGUCGGUCGUAGGUUCGAGUCCUACCUGCGGAG
This 72-nucleotide transfer RNA is filed under the name Neobacillus drentensis. RNAcentral's name for it is "tRNA-Asn". It matches the Rfam family "tRNA". From Rfam's summary of the family: Transfer RNA (tRNA) molecules are approximately 80 nucleotides in length. Their secondary structure includes four short double-helical elements and three loops (D, anti-codon, and T loops). Lineage: Bacteria; Bacillati; Bacillota; Bacilli; Caryophanales; Bacillaceae. RNAcentral also lists the same sequence under 2 other names. The record is from RNAcentral.